ACUCCUACGGGAGGCAGCAGUGGGGAAUAUUGGACAAUGGGGGCAACCCUGAUCCAGCAAUGCCGCGUGAGUGAUGAAGGCCUUAGGGUUGCAAAGCUCUUUUGGCGGGGACGAUGAUGACGGUACCCGCAGAAUAAGCCCCGGCUAACUUCGUGCCAGCAGCCGCGGUAAUACGAAGGGGGCGAGCGUUGUUCGGAAUUACUGGGCGUAAAGGGCGCGUAGGCGGCGACCCAAGUCAGAUGUGAAAGUCCUGGGCUUAACCUGGGGACUGCAUUUGAUACUGGGUUGCUUGAAUUCGGGAGAGGAUAGCGGAAUUCCCAGUGUAGAGGUGAAAUUCGUAGAUAUUGGGAAGAACACCGGUGGCGAAGGCGGCUAUCUGGACCGACAUUGACGCUGAGGCGCGAAAGCGUGGGGAGCAAACAGGAUUAGAUACCCUGGUAGUCCACGCCCUAAACGAUGUCAACUAGUUGUCGGGUCUUCAUUGACUUGGUAACGAAGCUAACGCGUGAAGUUGACCGCCUGGGGAGUACGGUCGCAAGAUUAAAACUCAAAGAAUUGACG
This 561-nucleotide ribosomal RNA is filed under the name uncultured Dongia sp. RNAcentral's name for it is "bacterial SSU rRNA". It matches the Rfam family "Bacterial small subunit ribosomal RNA", at positions 335 to 915 of the family's 1533-position model. Lineage: Bacteria; Pseudomonadati; Pseudomonadota; Alphaproteobacteria; Rhodospirillales; Dongiaceae. The record is from RNAcentral.